Molecule: ribosomal RNA, 428 nt
Filed under: uncultured bacterium
Lineage: Bacteria
Description: partial 16S ribosomal RNA
Rfam family: Bacterial small subunit ribosomal RNA
Source: RNAcentral
GUGGGGAAUAUUGGGCAAUGGGCGAAAGCCUGACCCAGCAACGCCGCGUGAGGGAAGAAGGCCUUCGGGUUGUAAACCUCUGUCCUUGGUGACGAAACAAAUGACGGUAGCCAAGGAGGAAGCCCCGGCUAACUACGUGCCAGCAGCCGCGGUAAUACGUAGGGGGCGAGCGUUGUCCGGAAUUACUGGGCGUAAAGGGUGCGUAGGUGGCCUUUUAAGUUGGAUGUGAAAUACCCGGGCUUAACUUGGGGGGUGCAUCUAAUACUGGAGGGCUAGAGUGCAGGAGAGGGAAGCGGAAUUCCUAGUGUAGCGGUGAAAUGCGUAGAUAUUAGGAGGAACACCAGUGGCGAAGGCGGCUUUCUGGACUGUAACUGACACUGAGGCACGAAAGCGUGGGGAGCAAACAGGAUUAGAAACCCGUGUAGUCC